RNAcentral lists this ribosomal RNA (254 nucleotides) under uncultured bacterium. RNAcentral describes it as "partial 16S ribosomal RNA". It matches the Rfam family "Bacterial small subunit ribosomal RNA", at positions 524 to 776 of the family's 1533-position model. The record is from RNAcentral.
GACGAACCGUGCGAACGUUAUUCGGAAUCACUGGGCUUAAAGCGCGUGUAGGCGGGUCGGAACGUCGGCCGCUGAAAUCCCCCGGCUCAACCGGGGAAGGGGCGCCGAUACGACCGACCUGGAGCGACGUAGGGGGGACUGGAACUUCCAGUGGAGCGGUGAAAUGUGUUGAUAUUGGAAGGAACGCCGGUGGCGAAAGCGACACACUGGACCUUGUCUGACGCUGAGGCACGAAAGCCAGGGGAGCAAACGGG